GACGAACGCUGGCGGCGUGCCUAAUACAUGCAAGUUGAGCGAUGAAGAUUGGUGCUUGCACCAAUUUGAAGAGCAGCGAACGGGUGAGUAACGCGUGGGGAAUCUGCCUUUGAGCGGGGGACAACAUUUGGAAACGAAUGCUAAUACCGCAUAACAACUUUAAACAUAAGUUUUAAGUUUGAAAGAUGCAAUUGCAUCACUCAAAGAUGAUCCCGCGUUGUAUUAGCUAGUUGGUGAGGUAAAGGCUCACCAAGGCGAUGAUACAUAGCCGACCUGAGAGGGUGAUCGGCCACAUUGGGACUGAGACACGGCCCAAACUCCUACGGGAGGCAGCAGUAGCGAAUCUUCGGCAAUGGACGAAAGUCUGACCGAGCAACGCCGCGUGAGUGAAGAAGGUUUUCGGAUCGUAAAACUCUGUUGGUAGAGAAGAACGUUGGUGAGAGUGGAAAGCUCAUCAAGUGACGGUAACUACCCAGAAAGGGACGGCUAACUACGUG
RNAcentral lists this ribosomal RNA (497 nucleotides) under uncultured bacterium. RNAcentral's name for it is "partial 16S ribosomal RNA". It matches the Rfam family "Bacterial small subunit ribosomal RNA", at positions 28 to 507 of the family's 1533-position model. The record is from RNAcentral.